CUGGAUGGUCCAGCCCCUCCCACAGCCACGUGUGGGGCCCAGGAUGUCUCCACGUGCAGACGUGAUGCUCAAACACAGGCAGGAAGGGCAACUGAGUCUCUGCUGGAGAAAGCACCGCGGCCGUGUGUGGGUGCAUACACACCACUCACCAUUGAGCCCAAACGUGCCUCUGAGCCGGAGCCCUAACAUUCCCAGACCCAGGAGACUAUCCGACUACACACCCUCUCCAUGAACUGCCAGAUGUAGGAGAUAAAGUGCUGGACCUCCCACAAUAUGUGGCCUGGAAGCCUGACCUGUUUUAUGUGGCUGUCUACAAAGGGGGGAAUUUACACAAUGUGAAAUGCACACGUCUGAAGGACACCAUCUAGGCACUCCAAUCAAUGUUUAUAUGUGUAAUGGAACCUCUAUCAAGAAAUGGAAUGUUGACCCCACAAAAUUCCCUCGUGCCCCUUCUCAGUCCCCCAAGCACUGUUCUGUUGCUUUGUUUCGUUUACUAUAGUUCACUUUGGCUCUAGUGUGUUAUAUAAAUAGAAUCAUACAGUAUCUGCCUUUCGUGUCUGGCACCUUUCACCCAACUGGCAGUUUUUACACUCACCCAGGUUGAUUGCCGCUCCCCUGUGGAUGAGACCUUGGGCUGCCUCCACUCUGGUUGAUAGGAAUAAAGCUGACCUGAGCUCUCUUGCACGUC
Molecule: long non-coding RNA, 688 nt
Organism: Leopardus geoffroyi (Geoffroy's cat)
Lineage: Eukaryota; Metazoa; Chordata; Mammalia; Carnivora; Felidae
Exons: 2
Source: RefSeq, a predicted model, not a curated record